RNAcentral lists this long non-coding RNA (624 nucleotides) under Fukomys damarensis (Damara mole-rat). Its description in RNAcentral is "lncRNA (ENSFDAG00000031145.1)". Lineage: Eukaryota; Metazoa; Chordata; Mammalia; Rodentia; Bathyergidae. The record is from RNAcentral.
CGCUCCCGAAGUCCUUACGGCGGCGUGCUUCGUCCUUGUCCUGUUUUGUUAUUAGAUCUUGGAAAUCGAGGCAGGCGGCGGAACCACUGAGCUAAAUCCCCGGCCCUUGCUGAGCUUAGUUUAUAAAUUAAUUAUAAAUGUAUCACAGGCAUGUAUUUGAUGAAAAAACAGCCUGAACACGAUGUGGUGCAGUGUGAGGUUCCAGGCGUCUGGUCGGCAUCUCGGGAUGUUUGCCCCAGGGGGAAGACGCAGCCCGAGAUGCCUCGUUACUGAUUUCUAGUCUCCCUGUGGACACGGAGCAUAAGCUGCAGGAUUUCAGACUUCUGGAUUUAUCGAGACUUGCUUUAUGGUCCCAUAUGUGAUCUGUCUUUUUUUUUGUUACCGGGGGUAGAACUCUGGACCUUGUGCUUGCGAAGCAGGUGGUGGCCCCGCUGAGGUAAUCCCCGGCCCCCGUGAUCUGUCCUGAUGGAGGUAUCCUGUGCAUUCUGAGGUUGUGGGUGGACCGGUCCACAAAUGUUAUUUAGACCAUUGGUCAGUAGUAUUUCUCAAGCCUCUAUCCCUACUGCUUUUAAAAUUCUUUAUUUAGUUUUCUAUUGAGAACAGAGAGGACUGUUAAAAAUCUUC